UACAGAGGGUGCAAGCGUUGCUCGGAAUCAUUGGGCGUAAAGGGCAAGUAGGUGGUCUCAUUUGUCCGAUGUGAAAGCCUUGAGCUUAACUCAAGAAGUGCGUCAGAAACGGUGAGACUCGAGUUCUGGAGAGGGUCGUGGAAUUCCCGGUGUAGCGGUGAAAUGCGUAGAGAUCGGGAGGAACACCAGAGGCGAAGGCGGCGACCUGGACCUCUGCUGACGCUGAGGCGCGAAAGCGUGGGGAGCGAUCCGG
This 253-nucleotide ribosomal RNA is filed under the name uncultured bacterium. RNAcentral's name for it is "partial 16S ribosomal RNA". It matches the Rfam family "Bacterial small subunit ribosomal RNA", at positions 524 to 776 of the family's 1533-position model. The record is from RNAcentral.